Molecule: ribosomal RNA, 254 nt
Filed under: uncultured bacterium
Lineage: Bacteria
Description: partial 16S ribosomal RNA
Rfam family: Bacterial small subunit ribosomal RNA
Source: RNAcentral
UACGUAGGGUGCAAGCGUUGUCCGGAAUUAUUGGGCGUAAAGAGCUCGUAGGCGGUGUGUCACGUCGGCCGUGAAAACCUGCAGCUUAACUGUGGGCGUGCGGUCGAUACGGGCAUCACUGGAGUUCGGCAGGGGAGACUGGAAUUCCUGGUGUAGCGGUGAAAUGCGUAGAUAUCUGGAGGAACACCGGUGGCGAAGGCGGCAUCCUGGACCGGCAUUGACGCUGAGGCGCGAAAGCCAGGGGAGCAAACGGG